Molecule: long non-coding RNA, 4477 nt
Filed under: Nicotiana tabacum (common tobacco)
Lineage: Eukaryota; Viridiplantae; Streptophyta; Magnoliopsida; Solanales; Solanaceae
Description: long non-coding RNA (NTAB_LNC001282)
Source: RNAcentral
UUAAAUCGAGUUUUACCCCAAUUCCAAUCUCUCUCAAGACCGGCGCCCCCUUCCGCCGUCCUCCGCCGCCCGAAAAUCGUCUCACGGCGGCGGACCAUCUCCAAAAUUCCUCAAAUUUCAACCACAUAACCUCCAUCACCCUCUUAUUUCAAUUCCACUAUUAAUUUCUCCGAAAACUACUCAUUUUCUCCGAAUUAGAGAUCUAAGAAUAAAAAUUCAAACUUUUUGCUUUUGCUUGAUUUUCCCCUAAUUUAGCCCUUAUUUCAUGAUGAAACCUACUUGAAUCAACUACAUUCAACGUGAGGAGUCGAUCAUUUGUAGGGAUAACCUAUUUCAUAGUUGGUCGGAUUUCGGGCAUUUAACCUUUUAGUGUCCAAAAUGCUUUGAGCCUCUGCCUCGUCUCUUUCUUGGCGUGUGUUGAAGAUUGUGACAUGAAGCACUAGUUGUGGAAGAAAGCCCGGCCAAUGUUCAUAUUACAAUUCCCAUCAUUAGCCGAGAUUCUUGUUCGCCGGAGUUUGAAUCGACUCAUUUAUGUUUUUCUCUGGGAUAUCGAAGCUUUUGGCGAUUUCACCAGUAUACCUCUCCUCCUAUUUUCCUAACCCUCAUGUGAUAUCAAAUCUAUGUCUAAAGAUUUUUUCUGGUUCAUUAUUGAUUCAUCAGUAGUAAUAGCUCAAUAAUUAGAUUAAUCGCAUUUGUUAAUGUUAUUUUUGAGUGAAAUUCGAAAUCUGUUUUUCCGUUUAAAUCAAAUUUUGUUUGUUUAAAAUCUUCAUUGAUUUUGUUUUUGGUUAUUUGUUGGGUUCAGAAUUAGGUCUGUUAAUGCAAAAGCCCAAAUAAGAUAUUGGACUUGUGGGUUAAGUGGCUCAGAGGUCAGUAUCACUUAAGGGGGUAAUUACAAGAGUACUAGGGGGUUCAAUUUGGAUAGGGAUUGAGGGAAUCUUAUCCUAACAAAUUGGAAGCUUCUGGAUAAGGGCUGAUAGAGAUUAUUUUGGGAAAAGAGGGGGAAAUUCUGUGGGCAGGGGUUGAAGUGAAAUAAAAUGAAAGUUUAAAGGGUAUAUUUUAAUGAGGAAAAACAGGUUUUGUUGCCCUAAUUCUCCUCUAUAAAAGAUCCCUUUUCCAUUCAAUUAGGACCAGAGAAGAAAAAAGAGAAAAGCUAGAUACGACGGAAAUUCAAAAGUUUUUUUAAGGGUUUUCUUCGGAAGUUUUGAGCUUUAUUUGCUCCUCAACUGUUUCCUGGGAUUCCGAAGUUUGAACAGAUUCUUGGGUGUUUGAUUGCUGGUUUUGCUGCUGAAUUUUCUCCUUUGGAUUUCAAAACUUUAUUGAGUUUAUCUAGCUGAUUUUUCUCACAUUUAGGUAUGUUCUUCACCUUAAAAUUACCUAGCUAAAUCAGUAAAUAUCAAUCUGAGUUUUUGGUUAUUUUAUCUUGUGUUAAUUAGUUCCUUUUUGUGUGUUUGUAUUUAAUAUUCAUGAUAUUCUCUAGUUAUGUCAAUGCUCGUUUGAACAACAUGUCAUGAAUGUACUGUGUGUAACAUUCUUGCCACUCACUUUGAAUUAUUCUGUGAUUGAACUCAUCUACUUUUUUUAUUAAAAUAAAUCAUGGUUCAGUUUUGGUCCUAAAUCUGUUAAGGCAUGACAAAUAGGCUAUAUGUGUGUUUGAAAAUAAAUUCUGUGGUGUUCUUACAUCAAUUUUUUGUUUCAGAUAAUUUGAUUUUAUAAGCUGAAGUGAACAAUGACGUAUGGUGUUAAUGAAUGCGAGCACGUGAUUUUUGUUGUCGCGACAAUCACUCCAAAAGGAAACUAAAAUAAUAGCAAUUGGUCUUGCCGUACAAUUUCUGGAUUUUUACGUGGCACUUUGUUAAUUAUUUAUGAUUUUGGCCCAUUUUUAUUUUUAUUAAAACAAAAUACCAAAAAAGUGUGUCAUGCGUAGUUUGAACCAUAAUCCGAUUAUUAAAUGGAAAAUCAUAAAUACGCAUCUUUGUCCGUGAUUGUUUGCUUUGUUUGAUUUUACCUACUUUAAAUAUUUUAAUAUAUGUGUGUAAAUAAUUGUAUUAAGUAUUUAAUUAAUGAAUUUUAAUUUGGUUUACUUAGGUUUUGUUUUAAAAUAAAAAAUAUAAUAAAAAAGAGAGUGCAGAAUUGGGUUGAAAUCAGUUUGGGCCUGUUUUCAUUUUAAUCUGAGGCCCAAAAUCAAGCCCAGAACGUGUGUUUGCCCGGGUCCAGACCAGCUGACUUCAAGAGCUUCCAAAUGACAUCGUUUUGCUAUGGUCUGAUCUGGGCCGUUGAUCUCAGAAUGAUCAACGGCCAAGAUCACACACCCCGUACCCACGAACAGAUCCGACCCAUCUUACCCGAACCAACCCAAACCCUAGCAUUUGAAACGACACCGUUUCCCCAUCAGUUGAAAGAUCUUGGCCUUCCAUCUCGCCUCAUCCAACGGCUGAGAUCAAUCCACCCAUUCCAUAUAUAAGCUUUCCUACCAUACCCUGCCCCCCUAUCCAAGACCCCCGCCUUCGUCCUCAUCCCCUUCCCCACGAAACCCUAGCCGCCCCCUUUUCCUUCACCAUUAAUCCCGGCAGCCUGGAUGCCGGUGACUCCCACCUUAACACCGUAGGACCACCUCACCGCCCUGAACAUGGAUCUGUUAACCGCUUAGCUCGAAUCCCAUCCCACCUUCCCGAAUCUUCAUUUGAAGAUUCGAGUCAAAACUCGAUCUACACCGAUCUGCCCUAGACUCGUACCAGACAGUUCCCGGACCUCCCUCGUGACCAAACCAUGCUUGGUCCGUGUAUGAACCCUAGAAACCCCAAGCCUGGUCCGUGUCUGUUUGAGCCAAGUGAUUAGGGUCUAAUGGACCUUAAUCGAAUGAGAAACACUUCGAUUAAAGUCCGUUCAACCCCAAGAAGGGUCUGUUCAAAUCCAAGCUAAGGCUUCCUGAUUUUUAAGGUUUUUAAGGUAAGUUUGUUUUAUUAUUAUUCAAUUCAUAUGUGUUAAAAGUUUGUUCGCAUGAUUUGCUUUAAGUUUUGUUGAUUGUGUCCUGCCCACCUUGCCCGGGCCUCUGUACAUGGUCAAGUUCUUUUUUUCACUGAUGAUGUGUGUGUUUUGUAAACUGCAUAUUCGGUUUGAAUUUGUAAUUGGUCAUUCAAUUAGUUCCCAAGGUCAUUUCUGUAUUGACAUUGCAAUCUGAACCCCUUGUUGAUACUGUUUGGAUUUCUGAUCUUUGGCUACGUUUGUACAUGUUAUGAUUAGUAUAGUCGAGUCGACAUAUGUCGUCAAUUAAUUUCAGUAGUUCGAAUGUUAACAAUUGAAUCUGUUGCCUGCUGCAACUUUGUUUGAAUCAAAGUAAGAAUCAAAUAUGGAUACUUAUGGUUGCUGUAUUUGAAUCUGAAAAUAAAAAGGUUGGAUUGUUAGCUGCAAUCUGAAUUGGAGGGCAUGUGCAUUGGUGCACAACAUGUGCAUAAAAGCCCUUUUGAUUAAAAUAGUUUGACAGCAUGUGUUGUCAGAUUAUAUUCUUGCUGCCCCUGUCUGCUUUUUAGUUUAAUAAAUGUUAAAGGGUACUGUCAGGAAUAUCAUGGGAGGGUUGUAUACUUAAAGGUUUGAGUGGAAACUGAAAAAGAAGACAACACAUGGGAGGGGUUUUCUGAUUGAUUAACAGGCUGUUUAAAUGGCCUGAUGUUAGGCUUAUAAGAGGGGAACUUCCAUUAGAAAAGGGGACGGAAUUUGGAGAACUGAGGUUUGAAAAGACAGAACACUGAAAAAGAAUUCUUUUUUGAUAACUCAAAUAGAUUUCAAGACUGAAAAUUGGCACUAGAUUUUGGAAAGAAAAGAGAUAGUGAGAGGGAUAUCACAGAGAGGCUUAUACAGACACACAUACUAGAGAGAAAAACAUACAAAAAUCAGAAACUAUUUUCUUCCUGCUGUUUGUUCGAUUCUCAGUUUGUUCAAACUGUUCAAUCAGUUCUGUUUUCUUUCAAGUAUCAGCUAAGUUUAUUGGUUGGUUCGUAUUGGUUGUUUUCUCUUAGAAUUGGAUUGUCUGGAUCUCUGUUUCUAUACUACUGGUUAUUGCUGUCAUUCUGCCAUUUUCCAUUGGCUCUAGCUGCCUCUUGCACUGGGAUUUGUUUUAUUUGUUACCUGCUGCCACUGCUGCUGUUUGGUAUUGCUUCUAUUGCUCUAACUGACCCCCAUGCUUCUUCUGUUGUAUCCAACAUCCAGGUACAUACUAGAACUUUGCAUCUAAUGUAACAAUAAGAGCAUGAAAUAAAAAAUAUGCGGGAGUUUAAUCAUUCGUUGCUGCAGUUACAGUUUUUACGAAUAUUAUUAGAUUUGUGUAACUUGUUUAGUUUGUAAUUCAAUAAAGAAACACAUUAGGUAGCCUUGUACUUAAUUGCAGUUUAGUUUGUUUCAAAUUUUGAUUUCAGUUGUUUAGUGGGUUGUAUGAUAAGGAAUGCAUGAGUGUUUUGGCACACAGGUAAUUAGAUAACCUUUC